This 116-nucleotide ribosomal RNA is filed under the name Danio rerio (zebrafish). The record is from RNAcentral. Lineage: Eukaryota; Metazoa; Chordata; Actinopteri; Cypriniformes; Danionidae.
UUAUACAGCCAUAUUUAGGCAGCCCAAGACCGGUUACUCACUGAAGCUAAGCAGGGCUGAGCCUGGUCAGAACCUGGAUGGGAGACCACAUGAGAAAAACUAGGUUGCUGUUGGAG